This 32-nucleotide non-coding RNA is filed under the name Rattus norvegicus (Norway rat). The record is from RNAcentral. Lineage: Eukaryota; Metazoa; Chordata; Mammalia; Rodentia; Muridae.
UGGCGUUGCAAUGAAAAUGGGUUUGUCCCAGC